GCGGACGUGGUGUACGGCGCACCGCUGCAUUCACUUCGUAUCUACGUUCAUUUCAGUUGAGCAGCUAGCCGGGGUUCGACUCCCCGCGUCCGCA
Molecule: non-coding RNA, 94 nt
Organism: Mycena epipterygia
Lineage: Eukaryota; Fungi; Basidiomycota; Agaricomycetes; Agaricales; Mycenaceae
Source: the annotation of a GenBank genome assembly